GCGAAAGUGGCGGAACUGGCAGACGCGCGGGAUUUAGGAUCCCGUGGGAGACCGUGGGGGUUCGAAUCCCCCCUUUCGCACCA
Molecule: transfer RNA, 83 nt
Filed under: Acidobacteriota bacterium
Lineage: Bacteria; Pseudomonadati; Acidobacteriota
Also listed under: 1 other name
Description: Acidobacteria bacterium tRNA-Leu
Rfam family: tRNA
About the family: Transfer RNA (tRNA) molecules are approximately 80 nucleotides in length.
Source: RNAcentral